CCAGACAGCCAGGAUGUUGGCUUAGAAGCAGCCAUCAUUUAAAGAAAGCGUAAUAGCUCACUGGUCGAGUCGGCCUGCGCGGAAGAUGUAACGGGGCUAAACCAUGCACCGAAGCUGCGGCAGCGACACUAUGUGUUGUUGGGUAGGGGAGCGUUCUGUAAGCCUGUGAAGGUGUGUCGUGAGGCAUGCUGGAGGUAUCAGAAGUGCGAAUGCUGACAUAAGUAACGAUAAAGCGGGUGAAAAGCCCGCUCGCCGGAAGAC
RNAcentral lists this ribosomal RNA (261 nucleotides) under Salmonella enterica subsp. enterica serovar Muenchen. RNAcentral describes it as "partial 23S ribosomal RNA". It matches the Rfam family "Bacterial large subunit ribosomal RNA", at positions 1085 to 1345 of the family's 2925-position model. The record is from RNAcentral. Lineage: Bacteria; Pseudomonadati; Pseudomonadota; Gammaproteobacteria; Enterobacterales; Enterobacteriaceae. RNAcentral also lists the same sequence under 1 other name.